UGGUAUGUAAUUAAUUCUGAAACUUUGAUGGUUUUCACAUUACUCACUGCCUUCUCCUUGGCAAUUCACCUGCUUUCUACUUUCUUUCUCUCAGAUCUAUUUACAUCGGGGUUGGGGUGGGGUGGGGGACUUCUCACUCACAUCUUAAUUCCAUUUGCUUUUUAAAAGGUUUUGUGGUUCUUUGGAAGAAGAGAAUGUUAUCUGCUGUCGUAGAGCCUAACUGCCGGCUCCUUUGUCAUUUUGCCUGUGCUUCCUGGGCUACAUCCCCCAUCCUUGGGAUGCAGCCCCUGGCAACCACCAAUCUGAUGUCUGUCUCUAUGGAUUACCCUCCUCUGGACUUUUCACAAGAGCACAGGAAUUGCACUGGCCCAGCUUCGACACUGCUUUGCAGCAGGAAGAAGGGGUCUAGAGCGGAAUCUGGUGACAAAGCAGCCCUGGGUCAUUUGGCUGGCGGCUCACACACCCCCAGGAGCACCUCCAAGGGACUCAGUACUCUCCAGUGCUAA
RNAcentral lists this long non-coding RNA (506 nucleotides) under Capra hircus (goat). RNAcentral's name for it is "lncRNA (ENSCHIG00010010626.1)". Lineage: Eukaryota; Metazoa; Chordata; Mammalia; Artiodactyla; Bovidae. The record is from RNAcentral.